This 1149-nucleotide non-coding RNA is filed under the name Caenorhabditis japonica. RNAcentral describes it as "Eukaryotic large subunit ribosomal RNA". It matches the Rfam family "Eukaryotic large subunit ribosomal RNA", at positions 649 to 1731 of the family's 3401-position model. Lineage: Eukaryota; Metazoa; Nematoda; Chromadorea; Rhabditida; Rhabditidae. The record is from Rfam by way of RNAcentral.
CCGUCUUGAAACACGGAUUACGGAGUGUUUGUCUGCUGCGAGUCAAAGGGUGUAAAAACCUUGCGGCGCAAUGAAAGUGAAGGUUAGUCUCGAACUGACCGACGUGGGAUCCGUGCUCUUCGGAGUGCGGCGCACCACGGCCCUAUGCGUGUCACUUGUGACUGUGUAGAGGUUGAGCAGUAGGCAAGCGACCCGAAAGAUGGUGAACUAUGCCUGAGCAGGAUGAAGCCAGAGGAAACUCUGGUGGAAGUCCGUAUCGGUUCUGACGUGCAAAUCGAUCGAUAGACUUGGGUAUAGGGGCGAAAGACUAAUCGAACCAUCUAGUAGCUGGUUCCUUCCGAAGUUUCCCUCAGGAUAGCUGGAACUCUUGCAGUUAUAUUCGGUAAAGCUAAUGAUUAGAGGCCUUGGGGACGUAAUGUCCUCAACCUAUUCUCAAACUUUCAAUGGAUAUGGCGUCGCAGUUUCUUUAGUGAACUGCGGCGUGAAUGCGAGUUCCAAGUGGGCCAUUUUUGGUAAGCAGAACUGGCGCUGUGGGAUGAACCAAACGUGGAGUUAAGGUGCCUAACUUCUCGCUUUAUGAGACCCCAUAAAAGGUGUUGGUUGAUAUUGACAGCAGGACGGUGGCCAUGGAAGUCGGUACCCGCUAAGGAGUGUGUAACAACUCACCUGCCGAAUCAACUAGCCCUGAAAAUGGAUGGCGCUUAAGCGAGAGACCUAUACUCCGCCGUCGCGGCAUGUGCGUUGUCUAGCGCCAGGUCGCGACGAGUAGGAAGGACGUGGCGGUUGCGUUGAAGGCUAUGAGCGUAGGCUCGGCUGGAGCUUCCGUCAGUGCAGAUCGUAAUGGUAGUAGCAAAUAUUCAAGUUCGAUCCUUGAAGACUGAAGUGGAGAAGGGUUCCACGUGAACAGUAGUUGGAUGUGGGUCAGUCGAUCCUAAGGUACUGGCGAAAGCCUUGUAUCAUCGGUGGCGAAAAGCUUGCUUUUUGUCCCCGCCCGUCGAAAGGGAAUAGGGUUAAUAUUCCCUAACUGAGAUGCAAAGAUUGUGUUCUUCGGAGCACAAGCGCGGUAACGCGUUCGAACUUGGUAAGUCGCUCAGAGACCGAGCUAGAGUUUUCUUCUCUAGUUAAGGAACGGACUCCCUGGAAUUGGUU